Molecule: unclassified non-coding RNA, 19 nt
Filed under: Chlamydomonas reinhardtii
Lineage: Eukaryota; Viridiplantae; Chlorophyta; Chlorophyceae; Chlamydomonadales; Chlamydomonadaceae
Description: small RNA Cre_0025
Source: RNAcentral
AAAGCAAACAGAACGUGGC